Molecule: unclassified non-coding RNA, 162 nt
Filed under: uncultured Hyalopeziza
Lineage: Eukaryota; Fungi; Ascomycota; Leotiomycetes; Helotiales; Hyaloscyphaceae
Description: sequence contains ITS1
Source: RNAcentral
AUAAUAGCGGGUCCUCUCGAAUCAUAGGAUGUCUGAACCCUUGAAUAUACAUAACUUUGUUGCUUUGGCGGGCCGCCUUCGGGCGUUGGCCUCGGCUGACUGUGCCCGCCAGGGGACCACAACUCUUUUGUUUAGUGAUGUCUGAGUACUAUAAAAUAUUUA